RNAcentral lists this ribosomal RNA (253 nucleotides) under uncultured bacterium. Its description in RNAcentral is "partial 16S ribosomal RNA". It matches the Rfam family "Bacterial small subunit ribosomal RNA", at positions 524 to 776 of the family's 1533-position model. The record is from RNAcentral.
UACGGAGGGUGCAAGCAUUAAUCGGAUUUAUUGGGCGUAAAGGGCGCGUAGGCGGAAGGAUAAGUCAGAUGUGAAAUCCCAGAGCUCAACUCUGGAACGGCAUUUGAAACUAUCUUUCUAGAGGGUAGGCGGAGAAAAUGGAAUUCCACAAGUAGCGGUGAAAUGCGUAGAUAUGUGGAAGAACACCAGUGGCGAAGGCGGUUUUCUAGCUUACUCCUGACGCUGAGGCGCGAAAGCAAGGGGAUCAAACGGG